CAGCCGUAAACUAUGCGCGUUAGGUGUAUCGGUGACCACGAGUUACCGAGGUGCCGAAGGGAAACCGUGAAACGUGCCGCCUGGGAAGUACGGUCGCAAGGCUGAAACUUAAAGGAAUUGGCGGGGGAGCACCACAACAGGUGGAGCCUGCGGUUUAAUUGGACUCAACGCCGGGAAGCUCACCGGAUAGGACAGCAGAAUGAUUGCCGGGCUGAAGACCCUGCAGGACUAGCUGAGAGGAGGUGCAUGGCGUCAGUGACU
This 261-nucleotide ribosomal RNA is filed under the name uncultured archaeon. RNAcentral describes it as "partial 16S ribosomal RNA". It matches the Rfam family "Archaeal small subunit ribosomal RNA", at positions 748 to 1008 of the family's 1478-position model. The record is from RNAcentral.